UACGGGGGAGCAAGCGUUGUUCGGAUUUACUGGGCGUAAAGGGCGCGUAGGCGGCCACCGCAAGUCAGUUGUGAAAUCUCUGGGCUUAACCCAGAAAGGUCAACUGAUACUGCGGGGCUAGAGUGCAGAAGGGGCAACUGGAAUUCUCGGUGUAGCGGUGAAAUGCGUAGAUAUCGAGAGGAACACCUGCGGCGAAGGCGGGUUGCUGGGCUGACACGUGACGCUGAAGCGCGAAAGCUAGGGGAGCGAACGGG
Molecule: ribosomal RNA, 254 nt
Filed under: uncultured bacterium
Lineage: Bacteria
Description: partial 16S ribosomal RNA
Rfam family: Bacterial small subunit ribosomal RNA
Source: RNAcentral